CAGGGAGACAAUAAAUUGAUUGUGAUGUCUAAGUUAUUUAUUCUUAGGCCGCAAUCCUGUCACCUUAAGGUCGAUCGGUACCUCAGAUUUUUGAAUUAGUUUUAUAAUUGAUUCUUUGAUUUCAGUUCCUAAACUUGUCUAGGUCACACCCAACAAAGGUUUCUCCUGGGCCAUUAGCUCAGGUGGUUAGAGCGCACCCCUGAUAAGGGUGAGGUCCCUGGUUCAAGUCCAGGAUGGCCCAUUCGUUGUUGGGGGUAUAGCUCAGUUGGUAGAGCGCCUGCUUUGCAAGCAGGAUGUCAGCGGUUCGAGUCCGCUUACCUCCACUGAAAACUAUCCUGAUAACUAAAUUCUGGAGAAAAAAAUUGUAGAUGUGGCUUAGAAUUGUCUAUUUGAAGAGAACCUAGCUUCUUGUCAUCUUUUUAUAGUUGAUAAAAUGCUGGGCUCGCAUGGAUUAUUUCCAUGAGAAUUCAGUAGAACCUUGAAAACUGCAUAGAUUAGAAAGAAUAAAGCAUCUCAUGGAUGCAUAAUUCUGUUUUUGUAAUUUAGCCUUAAAACUAAAUUAUAAAAUUUUAGAAUUCAUGUUUAAUUCUUGAGUAAAAGCCGAGCACAAUUGAUUUUGUGAUUGUAUUUAA
This 632-nucleotide transfer RNA is filed under the name uncultured Prochlorococcus sp. RNAcentral describes it as "partial 16S-23S ribosomal RNA intergenic spacer". The stretch from base 251 to 323 matches the Rfam family "tRNA". The record is from RNAcentral. Lineage: Bacteria; Bacillati; Cyanobacteriota; Cyanophyceae; Synechococcales; Prochlorococcaceae.